Molecule: long non-coding RNA, 3469 nt
Organism: Sarcophilus harrisii (Tasmanian devil)
Lineage: Eukaryota; Metazoa; Chordata; Mammalia; Dasyuromorphia; Dasyuridae
Exons: 3
Source: RefSeq, a predicted model, not a curated record
CGGCAGCAUCUCUGGUCGAUUUCACCUCGGCGGCAUCCCUGGUCGAUUUCACCUCGGCGGCAUCCCUGGUCGAUUUCACCUCGGCGGCAUCUCCGAAUGUCAGAGAUGGAGAGCGAGAGUUUAUGUCGGAAGGAAGUUUGUUCAGUAUGGAGCAGGAAUUGCAGAGGGCACAGCGGAAGCAGCGGGCAGAUCGGGAGUGGGCCUGAGGCACUCCACUGAUUCACCGCUGAAAGCGGGGAAAGAUUCAUUUCACAUGAUUGCAAGAAUGGGGGCCUAGGUGAGUAGACCUACCUUUAAAACUUCAAAGGCAGCGUUUUAUUUCCUUCCCAGAAGCACAAGUCCCUCCCCUGAUUCCUCAUUAAUUGGAUGUUACAAAAGUUACAUGGAUCUUCAGUCCUCUUUACAUAGGCAGUCCCUGCCUCAAAGGAGUUUCCAUUCUAGAAAGGGAAAGGUAACAGAGGAGGGCUAAGGGCAAAGAAUAAAAGAUUCUUUUCCAAUCAAAAGGCACCACCCCAGAACACAAGUCAGUCUUAAGCCAAGGGGCUUACAUUCUUUUGGAGGAAGAUAACCACCCUCCACCCUUGAUUAUUCCUUGAUGUCCUUAUGGGUCUCUGCCUUCCAAUUUAAGCUUCAUUUCACCAACUUUCCUAAUUGUGGAAACCAAAUGCACAUCCAUUUCUCACGAGGGGAUCAAACUGUUCCAAGUCAUUCUCAUAGUAGGUGGCAGUGUUGCAUCCUGGGGAGCCCUUCCAGGAUCUACCUCCUGGCUGUACUGACCUGGAGAUGGUAUAAGUUUGGGCAGGAAGCAGAGGUGGGUUGCUCACUGCUGGAGAAUGCCCUGGAGGAUGAGGUGGAAAGGGUCUCAUUAUUGGCCUGACCACCUGGACCCAGUUCUAGAGAAGGCCCUGAAGCAUUUUAUUUUGUGUGCAGGAAUAAAUGACCAGUUCCCUGCCAGAUUCAUGGUAUACAUUCAGUACCUUUUUUCUUUUUAAACAGCUUCCUUUUGGGGAAACCCUAGAAGUGAACCACAACCUAAUUUUUCUCUGGAGUGCAAUGGUGGAAAGUUUGAUGAAUCAGUAAGGAUGAGAAAAGAAGCCUUCUCAUUAGGGGCCAAGUUUCCCCAGGACUGAUCUUGGCCCAGACAGGAAGCCUGGGUCCAAAACAGAAGGGCCCCUUAGUGCAUCAUCACCUUGGGAUCCUUGGGACCAUCACUAGUUUCACAAUGCUAGACUUAUAUGUGAUUGGGUUGCUUCCCCUGAUAGAAUGAUAUGAGCUACAUAAGCUGCUAUAUACAUCUUAGCUAUUUUUACUAGUAUUAUUUAACUCGAAUCUCUCCAUCUUUUCCACAAAAAAUGGUAUGAGACACUUUGUCAAUCGUUUUGCUAAAAUCUAAGUAAAUAUACUUGAAGUGGCUAGCUGGCUCAAUGGAUUGAGCACUGGGUCUGGAGUCAGGAUAACUUGAGUUCAAAGGCCACCUAAGCUGUGUGACCUUGGGCAAGUCAAUUAACUCUGCUUGCCUCAAUUUCCUCAACUGAAAGGAGUUGGAGAAGAAAAUGGCAAGCUACUCCUUUGCCAAGAAAACCCCAAAUUGGGUCAGAAAAAUUAGGACACAAUUGAACAAGUAAUCUACAGAACUCCCUAUUAAAGCAGUUAAUUUUUUAAAAAUUUUUUUAUCAUUUACAAGCAUUUCAAUAUACAAAGAACAAAAAAGAGGAUUAUAGAGAAAACUUUGAAUUUCUGUUAUGAAUUUUUAAAAGUGUACAUAAAGUAAUUAAGUUUAUCACCUUGUCCAGAAAUGAAAUGAGGUUAAUAAGGCAUAAUCUGUUCAUGAUGAAGUCUAACUUUGUGACCACCAUUUUCUCUUCUAGAUAAUUAUUGUUUUAAACUUUUCUCCCUUCCUUUGCCCUCCUAAUACAUUAUUAGUGGGAUUCAAUCUUUGUAUGGCCCAUCUCUUCAGCACGAGGCUGUCGGGUGCUUUGGUGAAAUCGAUAGCAUUUCCAAGAUCUUCCAGAUCAUCCCAUCCUCACCAAAGGAAAUAAGGGGACUUACUGUGGCCUGGUCUUGAGGACCUUGUUGACACAAGCUUCCUUUUAAUGGUACCUGUUCAAAUGCUGACUAAAAUUACAAGGGAAACCCACUGCUUUAUUUUGUAGAUGAACCAAGGCUUCCUUUUCUGGAGAAUCAGGAGGACAUCUGCUCUUUUCCAGUCCUAGGGCACCUCUUUUAUCCUCCAAUUUUCCAAAGAUUAUCAACAGGGACUCAGCAACAGCAGCAGGUCAAUCGUAGCAGGAGCUCAGCAGCAGCAGCUCAGCAGUUUUAGGCCCAAGUGUAGGCCGUCUUAGUGCUCUGGGUCACUUAGGCCUCUAAGGCCCCAGGUGACUUGCAAGAGUGAGCUCAUCAUAGAGACAUCAGAACUUGAGGAAGAAGCUGCGGACUUGGAGGCAGAAGGGGCCUGGCUUAUUACCCCACCCCCAUCACCAACUAGAUGACUCUACCUUUCCAGAGUCAACUGCAAAAACAUUGAGAAAGGUGGCCCAUUAUUAGCUGUGUAGUACACUGGACGGGAUGUUGGCUCUGAAAGUCAGAGGGCCCGAGUUCAAAUCCCACAUCAGAUGCUGACUGUUGGUGUGACCUGGAAAAUUAUCUCUUCCCUGAACCUUUAGUACUCUUGCCAAAGCCUUAGGACUGGUCUCUCUUCUUCCAGUUCUACUCACACACAGCUUUAUUCAUGUCAUGUCCCUGAUUAAAAACCUUCAAUGUAAUUUUCUUGACUGAGGUAUAAAAGUCUAAACGCCUGAGCCUGGCAUUCAAAGCCCUCCUUUCUCUGGCCCCAGCCUUGCCAAUUUCCCUCGAUUCUCCUUCAUGCACUCUGUAUCGUUUCCGGUGAAUUAGUUGGACUUCAGUGUGUCAAAUAAUCAAUCACCAAGCCCUUGAGCAUCUAGAUGGAGAAGCAGUUAAGAGUGUUGGGCCCAGAAUCAGACCUGAGUUCAAAUUCAGCCUCUGAUAUAAGUUGUGAGGUUUAAGGGAUGGCACUGUGCUGAGCAUUCUGGGUACAAUGAAAAAGACAAUUCCUGCCUUCUAGGAGCUUACAAUUGAAUAAGGGAAGAUGACACAUAAAAGGAGGCAGUAAGAGGGAAGAGGGAAAAGGCGGGAUCAUCUCUAGACAGAUCAUGGCCAACCAUUCUCUUCUUCCCAAGUUCCCGCACCACAUCACCAACUGUCUAUUAUAAAUUCCAAACCAGUGCGUGUGUGUUGUUCUCUGUGAUCAAGUGUAAUCUCCUUGAGGAUACAGAUCAGCUCACUUUUUAUAAUAACCUGCUGCCGGCCUUAUUAAUAAACAGAUCAUAUCACCCAGAAACUAUGUCUCUUGAACCUUUUGAGUUGUCACAGGUGGUUGGUGACACUGCUGGUCAAUGUUUUUUGCUGUCUGCCGCCUAGACGGUGACUUACCAUCAGCGACUGGUGAUGG